Molecule: small RNA, 28 nt
Filed under: Bombyx mori (domestic silkworm)
Lineage: Eukaryota; Metazoa; Arthropoda; Insecta; Lepidoptera; Bombycidae
Description: ovarian small RNA-19313
Source: RNAcentral
UAAGGGAAGCCAAGGGAGCGAGCUCCGG